This 432-nucleotide ribosomal RNA is filed under the name Triticum aestivum (bread wheat). RNAcentral's name for it is "partial small subunit ribosomal RNA". The record is from RNAcentral. Lineage: Eukaryota; Viridiplantae; Streptophyta; Magnoliopsida; Poales; Poaceae.
AUGUUCAGAAUAAUAGUGAGCUCGAGAGUGUGUCUCCUGGGAAGUCAGGCAGGUGUUACCGUUGCCCGGAGCUCAAAUCGGCAAGCCUCUCCGAUUCGGACCUCCUCAUCGCCUUCUGCGCCAUUGUUGACGCAUACACACAGGCGCUCGAGAAGACCUAGCGCCGCGACAAUGAUGACACAUCCCCUAGCUAUAGAUGGCGGCCGCAGCGUAGAUCCCUUGGCCGGGUUCGAGAGUCGUUGCCCGCCCGAUGGCCAGCGCAUGACAUUUGAGGACUGCUCCACCGUGUGCUGGCUGCUCAACAGGCUCCAUGUCACCUUCCAGGAGCGCGACGUGUCCACCCACGCGCCCUACCGGGACAAGCUCCGCGUGCUGCUGCCGGGACAAACGGUUCCAUGUCACUGUCACAGCGCCUGUUCGCGGAUGUGUUAG